RNAcentral lists this transfer RNA (73 nucleotides) under Marmota monax (woodchuck). RNAcentral's name for it is "tRNA.Leu". It matches the Rfam family "tRNA". Rfam says of the family: Transfer RNA (tRNA) molecules are approximately 80 nucleotides in length. Lineage: Eukaryota; Metazoa; Chordata; Mammalia; Rodentia; Sciuridae. The record is from RNAcentral.
GGGGUUGUGGCUCAGUGGUAGAGUGCUCACACUUAACAUGUGUGAGGCACUGGGUUCGAUCCUCAGCACCACA